Triticum dicoccoides is the source of this 1040-nucleotide long non-coding RNA. RefSeq lists it as uncharacterized. The record is from RefSeq and is a predicted model, not a curated record. Lineage: Eukaryota; Viridiplantae; Streptophyta; Magnoliopsida; Poales; Poaceae. The transcript is spliced from 3 exons.
CACCACGCCGCCACUCCGCCGGAGUCGCCAGUAAGUUUCUAUUACUGAACUCAUCUAUACUGAGACCAAGCAAACCAAUUUUGUAGCCGUGGGAGCCACCCGUCGCGCCUUCCGCCGCGGGAGCCGCCGUGCCCUUCGCCGCGGGGGAGCCGCCGCGUGAACCGCCCGCCACGCCCUUCGCUGCCCGAGCCGCUCAGCUUGGCCUCCGCCGCAGGGACAGCUUGCCCUCAUGCCACCCAACACGGUCUGCAGUCCGUCACAACCCGAUAACUCACGCCAUACACUACAGGGUGGUCACCAACAUGAAUCUGAGGCGCUGCCAUUAUGCGCGGUUAUGGAUAAACGGCGACUGUUUUGGAUAAUCUGGUCUAAGAGCUUCUUGAGAAAAAAAAUCAUAAUCACGCAGUUUGGCAACAACAAUGCUGAGAUUAAGUUCAGCAAGGGAGCUGAACAACCUUUUACAGUGUCCACUCUCACAAAUACUCUGGCCUGGUAAACAACAAGGUAGCCAGCUGUUAAUAAAGACAAGCCCAUGAGGAGAAAUGGAUAUAAUGUUAACUCAUGUUCAACUGUUUUGCCUUUUCCCCUGAAGCUUUGCAACUGCGAGGCUCCAGUUUCUGUUGAUCUUAAUGUAAGACCAGGAGAUGAAGUGAUGGAGAUGAAUUUAGCAUUUUAACAAAUCAAGCGGUCAAGCCACCAAAUCAUGAUCCUGUAAUGUUGCAGUACAACUUCGAAAGGAUGAGAUACUUUUGGUUGCAUGCUUAACGACAACUAUUUGGUACCACUCAAACUGGACACCGAAGCAAUUUUGAACUCAUGUCAAACAUGUUUGUUGUUUCCUGCAAUUUUUUCCUUUUAUUUCUGCACGAACUCCUCAGUAUGUACUUCCUGUUGCUAUAUAGUUUUUCCAUAUGCAAUCUGUGGACCAUCACACUCUGAAGUACAGUCGAUGGCUCUAUAUUUUUUAACUUGUCAGCUACCUUUAAAGCAAAUGUGACGAUGAAAACUUAGCAUCAAUGCACUUUUCUAUAUAUUAUGUU